This 216-nucleotide non-coding RNA is filed under the name Kitasatospora albolonga. The record is from RNAcentral. Lineage: Bacteria; Bacillati; Actinomycetota; Actinomycetes; Kitasatosporales; Streptomycetaceae.
AGGGUGGCCGGUGCAGCUGGUUCGCCCUGUCCGCCAGACGGGGUGUCGUAAGAGGGAACCCGGUGGGAAUCCGGGACUGCCCCGCAGCGGUGAGUGGGAACGACCGCCGUCAUACGCACUGGGUCCACGCAGGACCUGGGAAGCGACGGCCAGUAGGUGUCUGCCCCGGCAGACGUGCCCACGAGUCCGAAGACCUGCCCGUUGCCCGCACGCGAC